AAUGGAUGUAGCUCAUUGGGUAGAGCAACGGACUGAUACUCCGUGGGUAGAGGGUUCGAGUCCCUCCUUCCA
Molecule: transfer RNA, 72 nt
Filed under: Paracoccaceae bacterium
Lineage: Bacteria; Pseudomonadati; Pseudomonadota; Alphaproteobacteria; Rhodobacterales; Paracoccaceae
Description: tRNA-Ile
Rfam family: tRNA
About the family: Transfer RNA (tRNA) molecules are approximately 80 nucleotides in length.
Source: RNAcentral